AAAUUGAAGAGUUUGAUCAUGGCUCAGAUUGAACGCUGGCGGCAGGCCUAACACAUGCAAGUCGAACGGUAACAGGAAGCAGCUUGCUGCUUUGCUGACGAGUGGCGGACGGGUGAGUAAUGUCUGGGAAACUGCCUGAUGGAGGGGGAUAACUACUGGAAACGGUGGCUAAUACCGCAUAACGUCGCAAGACCAAAGAGGGGGACCUUCGGGCCUCUUGCCAUCAGAUGUGCCCAGAUGGGAUUAGCUUGUUGGUGAGGUAACGGCUCACCAAGGCGACGAUCCCUAGCUGGUCUGAGAGGAUGACCAGCCACACUGGAACUGAGACACGGUCCAGACUCCUACGGGAGGCAGCAGUGGGGAAUAUUGCACAAUGGGCGCAAGCCUGAUGCAGCCAUGCCGCGUGUAUGAAGAAGGCCUUCGGGUUGUAAAGUACUUUCAGCGGGGAGGAAGGUGCUG
RNAcentral lists this ribosomal RNA (459 nucleotides) under Salmonella enterica. RNAcentral's name for it is "bacterial SSU rRNA". It matches the Rfam family "Bacterial small subunit ribosomal RNA", at positions 1 to 456 of the family's 1533-position model. The record is from RNAcentral. Lineage: Bacteria; Pseudomonadati; Pseudomonadota; Gammaproteobacteria; Enterobacterales; Enterobacteriaceae.